AUUGAACGCUGGCGGUAGGCCUAACACAUGCAAGUCGAACGGCAGCACAGUAAGAGCUUGCUCUUACGGGUGGCGAGUGGCGGACGGGUGAGGAAUACAUCGGAAUCUACUUUUUCGUGGGGGAUAACGUAGGGAAACUUACGCUACUACCGCAUACGACCUACGGGUGAAAGCAGGGGAUCUUCGGACCUUGCGCGAUUGAAUGAGCCGAUGUCGGAUUAGCUAGUUGGCGGGGUAAAGGCCCACCAAGGCGACGAUCCGUAGCUGGUCUGAGAGGAUGAUCAGCCACACUGGAACUGAGACACGGUCCAGACUCCUACGGGAGGCAGCAGUGGGGAAUAUUGGACAAUGGGCGCAAGCCUGAUCCAGCCAUACCGCGUGGGUGAAGAAGGCCUUCGGGUUGUAAAGCCCUUUUGUUGGGAAAGAAAAGCAGCAGGUUAAUACCCCGCUGUUCUGACGGUACCCAAAGAAUAAGCACCGGCUAACUUCGUG
Molecule: ribosomal RNA, 492 nt
Filed under: uncultured bacterium
Lineage: Bacteria
Description: partial 16S ribosomal RNA
Rfam family: Bacterial small subunit ribosomal RNA
Source: RNAcentral